RNAcentral lists this ribosomal RNA (492 nucleotides) under uncultured bacterium. Its description in RNAcentral is "partial 16S ribosomal RNA". It matches the Rfam family "Bacterial small subunit ribosomal RNA", at positions 29 to 507 of the family's 1533-position model. The record is from RNAcentral.
AGUGAACGCUGGCGGUAGGCCUAACACAUGCAAGUCGAACGGCAGCACAGUAAGAGCUUGCUCUUACGGGUGGCGAGUGGCGGACGGGUGAGGAAUACAUCGGAAUCUACUUUUUCGUGGGGGAUAACGUAGGGAAACUUACGCUAAUACCGCAUACGACCUACGGGUGAAAGCAGGGGAUCUUCGGACCUUGCGCGAUUGAAUGAGCCGAUGUCGGGUUAGCUGGGUGGCGGGGUAAAGGCCCACCGAGGCGACGAUCCGUAGCUGGUCUGAGAGGAUGAUCAGCCACACUGGGACUGAGACACGGUCCCGACUCCUACGGGAGGGAGCAGUGGGGAAUAUUGGACAAUGGGCGAAAGCCUGAUCCAGCCCUGCCGGGUGGGGGAAGAAGGGCUUCGGGGUGGAAAGCCCUUUUUGUUGGGAAGAAAGGCAGUAAGUUAAUACCCCGCUGUUUUGACGGUACCCAAAGAAAAAGCACCGGCUAACUUCGUG